RNAcentral lists this ribosomal RNA (390 nucleotides) under uncultured bacterium. Its description in RNAcentral is "bacterial SSU rRNA". It matches the Rfam family "Bacterial small subunit ribosomal RNA", at positions 370 to 772 of the family's 1533-position model. The record is from RNAcentral.
AAUGGGCGCAAGCCUGAUGCAGCAACGCCGCGUGAGGGACGACGGCCUUCGGGUUGUAAACCUCUUUUAGCAGGGAAGAAGCGAAAGUGACGGUACCUGCAGAAAAAGCACCGGCUAACCACGUGCCAGCAGCCGCGGUAAUACGUAGGUUGCAAGCGUUGUCCGGAAUUAUUNGGCGUAAAGAGCUCGUAGGCGGUCUGUCGCGUCUGCAGUGAAAACCCGAGGCUCAACCUCGGGCCUGCAGUGGGUACGGGCAGACUAGAGGGCGGUAGGGGAGAUUGGAAUUCCUGGUGUAGCGGUGGAAUGCGCAGAUAUCAGGAGGAACACCGCUGGCGAAGGCAGAUCUCUGGGCCGUAACUGACGCUGAGGAGCGAAAGCAUGGGGAGCGAA